Non-coding RNA from Agrilus planipennis (emerald ash borer), 174 nucleotides. Lineage: Eukaryota; Metazoa; Arthropoda; Insecta; Coleoptera; Buprestidae. The record is from Rfam.
ACACAACCACAUAAAAUUCUGAUCAUCAGUUGGCUGAAGAGGAACUUAAUUGAUCCUAUAACGGCCUGAAGUAGAGGGGUUUUAGUCGGUAGGUCUGAGGACACCUUCCUCGGGAAUCUGACACUACCCAGUCGUGCGGACGGCUGGGUGUCUUUUGAAGAUUUCCCCUCUUCC